GGGGGUAUAGCUCAGCUGGUAGAGCGCCAGCUUUGCAAGCUGGAUGUCUGGGGUUCGAGUCCCCAUGCCUCCACCA
Molecule: transfer RNA, 76 nt
Filed under: Verrucomicrobium spinosum DSM 4136 = JCM 18804
Lineage: Bacteria; Pseudomonadati; Verrucomicrobiota; Verrucomicrobiia; Verrucomicrobiales; Verrucomicrobiaceae
Also listed under: 2 other names
Description: tRNA-Ala (TGC) (tRNA-Ala-TGC-1 1 to 4)
Rfam family: tRNA
About the family: Transfer RNA (tRNA) molecules are approximately 80 nucleotides in length. Their secondary structure includes four short double-helical elements and three loops (D, anti-codon, and T loops).
Source: RNAcentral